UACGAAGGGGGCUAGCGUUGCUCGGAAUCACUGGGCGUAAAGGAUGCGUAGGCGGGUCUUUAAGUCAGGGGUGAAAUCCUGGAGCUCAACUCCAGAACUGCCUUUGAUACUGAGGAUCUUGAGUAUGGGAGAGGUGAGUGGAACUGCGAGUGUAGAGGUGAAAUUCGUAGAUAUUCGCAAGAACACCAGUGGCGAAGGCGGCUCACUGGCCCAUUACUGACGCUGAGGCACGAAAGCGUGGGGAGCAAACAGG
Molecule: ribosomal RNA, 253 nt
Filed under: uncultured bacterium
Lineage: Bacteria
Description: partial 16S ribosomal RNA
Rfam family: Bacterial small subunit ribosomal RNA
Source: RNAcentral